UAAACAUACCGAGCAGCAGUAGCAGAAGCUAACAGCCCUCGUGCUGUGUGUUUGGAUCCACAGGUAUUUAUACGUAGCUCAGCCGCUCAGUGCACGCUGCCUGAGGGGCUCAUGCUGCCGGACCAGAGACCCCUAGCUCUGGCGCCGGUAACAGUAUCAGACUCACAGAUUCUUGACUUUUGUGGAAGACUAAAGUAAGUGCUGUAUUGACACAAAUCCACCACUAGAUGUCCUGAAACUCCAUGAAACAAUUCAGACAGCCUGGCAGAUCACCUGCCCUCGAGAUUUUCUGAACACACGUAAUGGAGAAUUCAGUGACAUUUCAGGUUUAGUUGCUUCUUCUGUCAAUGCUUGCCGAGAUAUUUUACAGGUAUAACAUCAUUCAUUUGUAAAUACCAAAAGGUAGAGAAACCUGAAGUUUUGAGUACUAAUAAUGUAAUGUAAUGCUCUGUGACUGCCAGCAGGAAGUUGUUUUACCAUUCUUGGAGAGAGACAACUUUUCUUUACAGUUAUUCUAAAUCUCUUUGGCUCAUUUGUCAAAACAAAAUGUAACACAACUGCGAGCGUGAACUGUCGCGAAACAAGAGCCCGACUUAUUAAUGUUAUUUUAAGGAAAAGCAUUUCCAGGUAUGUGUGUCAUGGUUGGCCGUCACAUGUGGUCAAUCAUUCUGACAGAAAAUGUUUUUUUAAAGUCAUUUAAAAAUGUGCAUCCUGGGAGCUGCAGUUCAAAUAUAACAGGCCGACUUGAACCAGCAGACUUGUUAUGCUUGUUUUAAAUAAACCGUUGAAAUGGUUUGUUUUACUUGUUUACGUAAAAUUAUUGGGACAUUGGAAAAAGGGAGUCCUAUUUGUGAUCAGGUUUUCCCCUAGGCCUGGUCCUAACAUAAACAUUUAGCAAAAGAAAAAUGUGAAAGUGAAAACUUGCCUUCCACUCACCAACAUAAAGUCAUAAAAGGGGACAAACACAGUUCAAAUCAGUACAGAUGUGAAAAAGAGGAAAAAAUAUAUAUACAGUAUACAAGAAACCAAUAAAACGGACACUGACACCUGUUUUUUACUGUUGCUGUGGAUUAAAAGCUUAGUGGUCACUUUGUGGAGUUAAAAAAAGACUUACUGCACUUGGAAUGAAGGACGUUAUCUUUAUAUACAUGUUUAGUUGUAGCGCCUUCCAGAGCUCAGAGGCUGAACCUGACUGAGGAAGGGAGGAGAGCUCUCUGCCGGGAUACUCCUCACUUUUUCCUCCCGCUCUUUCUGUAAAGUGGUGAGUCAUUUGGGGUUUACCAUGUAUUUUUGGUUGCUGUUGAUCCUCUCUCAUUGUAGAAAGCUUGUUUUUAGUCUUGUUGUUGAGGAAAGUGGAAAGUUAUAAGACUUUCAACAAGUUAUUUGGACACCAGUACUAAGAUGUUCUCACACCAAGGCCCCUGAGCUUUCUCAGUAGACGUCGGUGCUGAGAGCGUUCUGUGUUUUCAGUGAAGCUCAAUCCAAGACUUUCGCAGGAUGUUUAAAAUGUUGUACAGUUUUUCUUUGCUCCCACUUUCAGGAAUAUUACAGAGAUGUGCAGUGAAAUCAUUUCUAGAUCUUGACAUGUUGUAAUCAUAGGUGAAAUACUAGAACUUUUAAAUCCCAGAUGCCUGUGAAUAAAUGUGUUGUGCCUUUUGUA
Long non-coding RNA from Solea senegalensis (Senegalese sole), 1660 nucleotides. RefSeq lists it as uncharacterized. The record is from RefSeq and is a predicted model, not a curated record. Lineage: Eukaryota; Metazoa; Chordata; Actinopteri; Pleuronectiformes; Soleidae. The transcript is spliced from 2 exons.